AGGAGCCCAUGCAGGUCCCCAUCUUGUGGACGCUAAAGUUCCAAGUGGGGAAUAAACCUAUGACAGAGGCUGUAAGGAGCAACAGUUAGUGUAGGGGCAGGUAUAUCCCUAAGUACCUCUAGCGAAUGUGUUGGCUGGCCCUGAUCUCCCAACUGCACAUUGUAAUUGUGCAGAUCAAAUAAAUUGGAAAAAGGAUUAAUCUGCUGAUUGGUCAUUUUAGUCUGGGGAGUUUGAUUUGAAUACAUUGUUAUUAGUCUGUAAACAGAAUUGUGUUUAAAAAUUUAGAGAUUGGAGGAUAUUUAGGUUAAAAAAAGGGAAAGAUGAAGGGAUAUAAUAAUCCACAAUAUGAAGAGUGUAUGAUUAGUGUUUUUAUAACUUGUAGCAGUAAGUUUAUUAGUUUUCUUGUGAAAAUAUUUUGGCUGUAUGAUUGAAAUAAAGAAGGACAAAAUGGCUGCUAUGUGUUUAAUUGUUGAUUAUAAACAUCUGGUUAGAAAGAGUGAUGUGCUAAAAGGAAGGGUGGGAGAGUUAGAAGCAGAGGUGGGAAAACUGCAAGCAGAAGCAAAAAAGUAUAAAGAAGCAGACUUGCAGGGAAAGAAAUCUUGUCCCUCAGCACCUUUGGACCCUACAUGUGUAACAUGGGGAUAUCAGUCUAGUUUCAUGGCUCCGAUGGCCAAACGCACAUGAAAGGCUUAGAAGUGAUCCUGCAGCACUUGGCAGACAGUGGGGAAAGAAAUCUUCGGCAGUCCAGGUGGCAAGAUGGACUCGAUGGGAAACGAGCUUGCUAAUGCCUUCAGUACGUCUGCAACGAGCGUCAUCGCUAAACCCUGCCACCCUCACGCCUAGCCCAGAUGAGGGACACCCGCAUCGGUGUUGCCUUAAGGAAGAGCCCAUGGACCUUCCAUUGGUAAAAGAAACUGAAAUACCUGGUGCCCCUUGCCUAUACGUGGAUGGUUCUUCCUCCUACAUGGAUGGCAAGUGACACACAGGAUGGGCCGUUUGUACGCAAGAUGGGCAGCUGGUGACACCUGGCAGUUUACUUGGGGCAUCAGCACAAGUAACAGAACUGCAGGUGUUAGUUGCGCAUGUGAAGCCGCGGAAGGUCAUGCUAUAAACAUAGCUACUAAUUCUAGAUGUGUGUUUGGGGUUGUAGAUAAUUACAUUAACUCGUGGGUAAAUCGGGGAUUCCUGACAAGUACAGGAUCCCAAUACAAAAUGGGGGGAUAGUGCAGAAACGUCAUGCAGCCGUGCAGAAACCUGCCGACAUAGCAGUGUUAAAAGUGAAGGCCCACAAAAAAGGGAGGGGAACCGAAGGGCAGAUGAACUAGCUAAACAAGCAGCAGUGGAAGGUAAAGAGACCCAAUUGGUUGCUGCAACACAGCCUCUCAUAAAACCCCCAAACUUUUUUGAAUUACAGGACAUUCAGCACACUGCCCCAAGGGCAGAGAAGUGGUUAUGGAUGGAUAAUGGGGGCAAUCUGUGUGAUGAUAACACUUGGAGAGGGCCAGGGAACACAUUAGUGUUACCAAAUGUGCUAAUGGGAACUAUUAUUCAAGUGUAUCACAUGUUGGGACAUGAUGGAGCACGGAGGGUGAUCCACCGUAUGUCAAACACCUGGUGGCAUCCUAAGCUUAAUGCAGACGUGCAUGAUUAUGUGAGAAGGCGUGUAACGUGUGCUCAAUAUAAUUCUGCUCCCACAGUGAAAAUGAAAAUGCAGCAUCAGCCAAGACCAACACAGCCCUUCACGCAGUUACAAAUAGAUGGAAUUGGUCCCCUGCCAAGGUGCAGAGGGAAAGAAUAUGUUCUGGUGAUCAUGGAUCACUUUACUAAGUGGGUAGAAGCUUCCCCAGUGGCCAAGGCCACUGCAUCUGAUGUAGUUAAACUAUUGAUGACUGAAAUAAUUCCCCGACGGGGACUUCCAUGCUUCCUACUAAUCCACAUUCCUUAUCUCCUUUUGAAAUGCUGGCAGGGCGGGCAAUGAGGACGCCAGGAAAUCUGUGCAUUGCAGGGGGGGAAUUGUAUGUCAUGGGUGACCAGCCUGUUGAAUAUUGCAAAUUGUUAUCGCAGUGUGUCUCACAGGACCCCCCGAACUGAACCAGACUCAAAGGCUGCAAAGAGGACAUAUGUGAGGUGCAGCCUGGUGACCAGGUGAUGGUGAAAGCCUAUAGAAAACGAACCUUUGAACCAGCCUGGACUGGGCCUCACACGCUUCUCUUAGUAACUCCUUCAGCAGCCCGGGUCACUGGAAUUCCAGUUCGGGUGCACCUGUCACGUGUAAAAGUAUUCAAGGGUGAGACCCAACAUGGGGCACAACAAUCCCUGUUUACUCUAUGGACUCCUGGAAAGCCGGUCGUAAUAUUGUUAAGUGUUUGCAGCUGAUAUUCCCAGUUUAAAAUUGAUGUAGGAAUUUUUGUAGUCUACUAAUUGUUUUGAGUGGUUUUGAAAGUUUCAUCUUAAUAAUGCUGCAGUGGCUUUCAGUGUUUUACUGAUGUAAUCACCUGGGGAGGAGCCACUGGAUCAGUUGUAAAUGCCAUUACUGAAAUCUAAUCAUAGGGACUGGGUUAAAAUUUGUCUGUAGCAGGAAUGACAGUUCAUUGUGGUGAGAGUGGGGCUCACGUCUCAUCAAGUUAGCUAUUCCCUUAACUCAGCAACAGUUGGUUAGGUCCUCACUGUUGUACUCAGCCAUCUCUUAACAACUACUCAAAUGUAUAAGCAAACAUUGGUCUAGGCAUGUGGAAAAAUUGUGUUAUCUUCCUGGCAUGGUAUCUUCCUGGUGUUCAACAUGAAAGUUGCAGCCCUGAUAGGAGACUCACUCGUGCCACAGGUGCCAUGUUGAGUGAGAGCUGCAGUUCUCAGAGACUGAAUGUCUUCACCUUGGAUGGUGGCAGGGGAGUGGUCCCUAUCGAUAAUAGGGGUAUGUUGAGAUGGUCAUUGCAUCCUUGGAGGGGUGUUAAUUCCUGAACUGGAGGCUCAGCCAGUGCACCCACUCCCAUUCGCAUGUCACAGACACCUGUAUAGAAUAAGGGCCGGAGAUAACUAUAUGGCUUUCCCACGGGACCAAUGUUCCAUCCUGGAGGAUGGGUUUUGUGUAUGGAAAACCUGAAGUCAGGACAAGCCUUAUCUCAAAUGUUGGGACCUGACUUAAUGGUGCAUGUAAUGUAAUUUAAUGUUUGAUACAGCAGUGAGGAAGGACGCCAUUAUCUGGUGUGGCUGUGGGUGGUUAACUGUGGCAGGCAAGCCUUGCUUAAAUAUCUCGUUCUUCCUAUUGUGUUAAGCUUUUUAAAAAUAUUAUGAAAAACGUGGUAGGGCAAUUACAGUGAU
This is a long non-coding RNA of Mauremys reevesii (Reeves's turtle), 3318 nucleotides long. RefSeq lists it as uncharacterized. The record is from RefSeq and is a predicted model, not a curated record. The transcript has 3 exons. Lineage: Eukaryota; Metazoa; Chordata; Testudines; Geoemydidae.